Molecule: long non-coding RNA, 523 nt
Filed under: Struthio camelus australis
Lineage: Eukaryota; Metazoa; Chordata; Aves; Struthioniformes; Struthionidae
Description: lncRNA (ENSSCUG00000000346.1)
Source: RNAcentral
GGAGAGUCUGUCACUUCAUUUGUGCUGGGAUAGACACCUUGGCAAAACCCACUAAUGGAAACGCAUCCUAUGCCAAUGAGAGGAGACUUCCUGGCCGCACAGCUCUGCUGUCUCCCUCGGUGGUGUAGGCAGAGCUGACAAAAGCACCCUUCUGUUGCCAUCACCGUGCCGAUACCCUGGGUCUGUGAGUGUAGGGGAUUUCCUGUGUGGUGUGCAGCCUUUAUUGUGCCAGACAUAUUGCCAACUCAUGCAACUUUAGUCCGAGCCUCGUGAUUGCUGGAAGUAUUCACAGAGACCAAACGCUGGACCAUAAAACUUAGAAAGAAUCUCAGCUUUCUUUUAAGAAAAAAAAAGAUCCUAGACCCCAUGCUUGUAGAAGAAAGAUUGCAAAAGCUGAAGACUACAAAUCCAAAAGGUAAAUGCAAAGACACAAAAUGAAUUACUUUAAAUAUAUUUCAUACGUUUAAAGCUAAUUGCAUCCUUUUGAGGCCUGAGCUGUGAUUUCUGAAUGUUUGGAGCUGGC